GGUAGGAUGGCCGAAAUAUUAGGCGGGGGGCUGUAAACCCCCACAUGAGGUCUAAACCCCUCUGCUACCA
This 70-nucleotide transfer RNA is filed under the name Takydromus sylvaticus. RNAcentral describes it as "tRNA-Tyr". The record is from RNAcentral. Lineage: Eukaryota; Metazoa; Chordata; Lepidosauria; Squamata; Lacertidae.